AUUGAACGCUGGCGGCAGGCCUAACACAUGCAAGUCGAACGAGUGGCGGACGGGUGAGUAAUGUCUGGGAAACUGCCUGAUGGAGGGGGAUAACUAUUGGAAACGGUAGUUAAUACCGCAUAACAUCAGAUGUGCCCCGAUGGGAUUAGCUAGUUGGUGGGGUAACGGCUCACCAAGGCGACGAUCCCUUGCUGGUCUGAGAGGAUGACCAGCCACACUGGAACUGAGACACGGUCCAGACUCCUACGGGAGGCAGCAGUGGGGAAUAUUGCGCAAUGGGCGCAAGCCGGAUGCAGCCAAGCCGCGUGUAUGAAGAAGGCCUUCGGGUUGUAAAGUACUUUCAGCGGGAAGGCGUUACCCGCAGAAGAAGCACCGGCUAACUCCGUGCCAGCAGCCGCGGUAAUUC
Molecule: ribosomal RNA, 406 nt
Filed under: uncultured bacterium
Lineage: Bacteria
Description: partial 16S ribosomal RNA
Rfam family: Bacterial small subunit ribosomal RNA
Source: RNAcentral